Molecule: ribosomal RNA, 283 nt
Filed under: uncultured bacterium
Lineage: Bacteria
Description: partial 16S ribosomal RNA
Rfam family: Bacterial small subunit ribosomal RNA
Source: RNAcentral
UGUCCCAGCCGCCGCGGCAAUACAGAGGGUGCAAGCGUUAAUCGGAAUUACUGGGCGUAAAGCGCACGUAGGCGGUUUUUUAAGUCAGAUGUGAAAGCCCCGGGCUCAACCUGGGAAUUGCAUUUGAAACUGGGAAGCUAGUAGUGUGUGAGAGGGGGGUAGAAUUCCAAGUGUAGCGGUGAAAUGCGUAGAGAUUUGGAGGAAUACCAGUGGCGAAGGCGGCCCCCUGGCACAACACUGACGCUCAUGUGCGAAAGCGUGGGGAGCAAACAGGAUUAUAUAC